This is an RNA transcript of Colius striatus (speckled mousebird), 3839 nucleotides long. It is a transcript of the gene named far upstream element binding protein 1, with no coding region annotated. The transcript has 23 exons. The record is from RefSeq and is a predicted model, not a curated record. NCBI's taxonomy places the organism in Eukaryota, Metazoa, Chordata, Aves, Coliiformes, Coliidae.
CGAUGCCGCGCAGGAAUGUGAAAGGCUCCCGCCCGCCGCCAUUUUCUUUCUUUCUUGGCAGGCAGCGAGUGGGGCAGGAAGCGGUGGCUGAGCGAGUAUGGCGGACUAUUCCACGGUGCCCCCUCCUGCUUCGGGCGCGCCUGGCGGAGGCGGCGGUGGAGGUGGAGGAGUGAACGAUGCCUUUAAAGACGCGCUGCAGAGGGCUAGGCAGAUUGCAGCAAAAAUUGGAGGAGAUGCUGGCACAUCAAUGAAUUCAAACGACUAUGGUUAUGGAGGACAAAAAAGACCUCUUGAAGAUGGAGAUGGCUCUUGGACAAGUCCGAGCAGUACAACACACUGGGAGGGAAUGCCCUCUCCUUUUAAAGAUCAACCAGAUGCUAAGAAAGUUGCUCCUCAGAAUGACUCUUUUGGAAAUCAGCUGCCACCAAUGCAUCAACAACAAAGGUCUGUGAUGUCAGAGGAGUACAAAGUUCCAGAUGGGAUGGUUGGAUUCAUUAUUGGCAGAGGUGGAGAGCAGAUCUCACGCAUACAACAAGAGUCUGGCUGUAAAAUACAGAUUGCGCCUGAUAGUGGAGGCCUGCCAGAAAGAUCAUGUAUGCUAACUGGAACACCAGAGUCUGUUCAAUCAGCAAAAAGAUUGCUUGAUCAGAUAGUUGAAAAGGGAAGACCUGCACCUGGUUUUCAUCAUGGUGAUGGACCUGGAAAUGCAGUUCAAGAAAUUAUGAUUCCAGCAAGUAAAGCAGGAUUAGUUAUUGGAAAAGGUGGAGAGACAAUUAAACAAUUACAGGAGCGGGCAGGUGUCAAAAUGGUCAUGAUUCAAGAUGGUCCACAGAACACUGGUGCUGACAAGCCCCUUAGGAUAACUGGAGACCCUUAUAAAGUUCAACAAGCCAAGGAAAUGGUGCUGGAGUUAAUUCGUGAUCAAGGUGGCUUUAGAGAGGUGCGCAACGAAUAUGGGUCAAGAAUAGGAGGAAAUGAAGGGAUAGACGUUCCAAUACCACGAUUUGCUGUAGGUAUUGUAAUUGGGAGAAAUGGAGAGAUGAUUAAAAAAAUACAGAAUGAUGCAGGAGUCAGGAUUCAGUUUAAGCCAGAUGAUGGAACAACUCCAGAUAGAAUAGCUCAAAUCACAGGGCCUCCUGACAGAUGUCAACAUGCUGCAGAAAUUAUAACAGAUCUCCUUCGAAGUGUUCAGGCUGGUAACCCAGGUGGACCGGGACCUGGUGGUCGAGGAAGGGGUAGAGGCCAAGGCAACUGGAACAUGGGGCCUCCUGGUGGAUUACAGGAAUUCAAUUUUAUUGUUCCCACUGGCAAAACUGGAUUAAUCAUUGGCAAAGGUGGAGAAACUAUUAAAAGCAUAAGCCAGCAGUCUGGUGCUAGAAUAGAACUUCAAAGAAAUCCUCCACCUAAUGCAGAUCCAAACAUGAAGAUGUUUACUAUCCGUGGAACACCUCAGCAAAUAGAUUAUGCACGACAACUUAUAGAAGAAAAGAUUGGAGGUCCGGUAAAUCCAUUGGGUCCACCUGUUCCACAUGGACCGCAUGGUGUUGUUCCUGGCCCACAUGGACCUCCUGGGCCACCAGGUCCUGGUGCUCCUAUGGGGCCAUAUAACCCAGCUCCUUAUAAUCCAGGGCCUCCUGGCCCUGCACCUCAUGGUCCUCCAGCUCCGUAUGCUCCACAAGGAUGGGGAAAUGCUUAUCCACAUUGGCAGCCACCAAAUCCACCAGAUCCGGGUAAACCAGGAACAGACCCAAAUUCAGCAGCAUGGGCAGCUUAUUAUGCUCACUACUAUCAGCAGCAAGCACAGCCACCACCUGCCGCCCCUCCUGGUGGACCAGCUACAACCCAAACUAAUGGACAAGGAGAUCAGCCAAAUCCAGCACCAGCAGGGCAGGUUGACUAUACCAAGGCCUGGGAGGAGUACUACAAAAAAAUGGGUCAAGCAGUUCCCGCCCCCACUGGGGCCCCACCGGGCGGGCAGCCGGAUUACAGUGCAGCAUGGGCUGAGUACUACAGGCAGCAGGCAGCGUAUUACGCCCAGACCAGUCCACAGGGAAUGCCACAGCAUCCUCCUGCACCACAGUGCAGGUUUGAUCCAGCCAGUAUAGAACUAGCUCUGUAGGGGUGAGGAGGACUGUGCUGUGUAUCAUCCUUGAUUGUUCCUUCAAGGAGCAUUGCACUUGCCUUCCCAGACCUUCCACCUUAGGUUCUGCUGCAAAAAAGCAACAGUGCUGAAGAUGCUGCAAGCACCAAAUCAUAGCUCAUAGAAUCAGGUCCUGAGAUAGUUACUACCAGUAAAGAGGAAUCCUUUGAGUGUAUGCCAUUGGUGAGCCGAUGAGCAUGGACCAUAGAAGGGCUCCAUGUGGAAGGUAAAAUUGGCAAAAACAUAACAGAUUUGAAAUGUAUCCCAUACAUAAUGGUGUAGGGUAUAAUUUUUGUUUUGAUCACGUUUUCGUUCUUUAAAGUAUUACUUGUUUGACCAUAAAUGUUCCAUAAUCUGUUAAGUUUUUUAAACUGUGAUUUAGUAAUAUAAGCCAUCUAUUUUAAUUGCUAUUCUUCUAAACAGCAAAGCUUAGAUUAUAUUGAAUUUUUGAACUAAAUAGUUGUGCCUCAGUUUCUCAAGUCACUUAAUAUUUCAUCUGCAGUUUAAUAUGUAACUUCAUUUUUGAAAUGAGAAAAGGUUAGAUAUGUACCAUUUGCAUUUUGAUACUGUGAAUUUAGAGUUGGGGUGAGUUUAUUUGUUCAAUUCCUUUUCACGAUACUUUUUCCUUCAACUGUUGUUCCUAAAAUAUCUUGAACAGUUUUUCAAUUGUAAAUUUAGCCAGUGGGAGGAGAUAGAGAAGAAGCCAAUUUAUUGGAAAGUUGCCAGAUGAGAUGAUCUUGUGUGUAGCACUUGAGGUGUAUUGACUUCCAGCUUUCUCACUGCUGAGCUUACAGGUGUGCUAUUUUGUGCUAAGCAUAGUGUUUGUUUUUCAACUCUGCAAACUCAUAGCUCUUGGGAGAACAGAAAAUAGAUUAUUGGAGUUAUGCUGAUCCAAAAAGAUAACUAGACUUCCUCAGAAAUGCAGUAACCUGUCCAAAAUAUGUCUUUAAAUGUUUCUUGCUUUUUUCCCCCCCUCUUGAGUCCCACAAAUUUAAGUAAAAUGUGAAGAGUACAAAAAGUUUUUAAAGGAAGCGUAAUGUUUUAAGUAGGAAAAGCAUUUUUCGUUAUCACUUUCUGCAGCCUAUACUUUAGUAGGACAUGAAGUAAAAUGUCAGAUGGAUAAUCUUCAGUCUGACUUUAUGAUCAAGUCAUCUAUUCAGGUUGUCCAGGUAGACAGGAUCAUUAUUCACUUGCACAGCCUAUCUUGAAGUGUUUCAUCUUUUUACUAGUGGUAUUUCAUUGGAUGACAGAAACUUCUCUUCCAAAGUAUUUUUUAAGUUUUCCAUUGCAUGUUGAAAGCCUUUUUUUUUUUUUUUUUUGCUUUUUUUCUGGAAGUGAGGGGAGGGAGGAAGGGAGGACUGGGCUUCUCAGAAAGCAUACAGUUGACAGGAUUCCCUCUUCCCUAGUAAUAGCUUAUAAAACUCGUAUGUAUGCACAAAUAUGUCUUGCGUGCAUGUGAAAUGCCUUUUCGUCCUGAGAAAAGUGUUCUCUGCAGAAACUACCCGUGUGUAAAAAGAAGAUUGGCUUUAAAAGGCAACUGUGAUGGGAACAGUGUCUUAGGGAGAUGCAGCUUGGACUUGAGGUAAAUUGAAUGCUUUACAAAAAUGUGGUUUUGAGUUUGCAUUGACAUUGUAUGUAAUAUGGGUACACAUUAACUGUAUAAUGUUUUUGUAUGGUUUUUCUCAAUAAAUGUAAACUG